This 253-nucleotide ribosomal RNA is filed under the name uncultured bacterium. Its description in RNAcentral is "partial 16S ribosomal RNA". It matches the Rfam family "Bacterial small subunit ribosomal RNA", at positions 524 to 776 of the family's 1533-position model. The record is from RNAcentral.
UACGUAGGGUGCAAGCGUUGUCCGGAUUUAUUGGGUUUAAAGGGUGCGUAGGUGGCUUGUUAAGUCCGGGGUGAAAGCCCACAGCUCAACUGUGGAACUGCCCUGGAUACUGGCGAGCUUGAGUCCAGACGAGGUUGGCGGAAUGGAAGCUGUAGCGGUGAAAUGCAUAGAUAGCAUCCAGAACCCCGAUUGCGUAGGCAGCUGACUAGGCUGGUACUGACACUGAGGCACGAAAGCGUGGGGAGCGAACAGG